AGAGUUUGAUCCUGGCUCAGGACGAACGCUGGCGGCGCGCCUAACACAUGCAAGUCGAACGAGAGAGAGGGAGCUUGCUUCCUCAAUCGAGUGGCGAACGGGUGAGUAACGCGUGAGGAACCUGCCUCAAAGAGGGGGACAACAGUUGGAAACGACUGCUAAUACCGCAUAAGCCCACGGCUCGGCAUCGAGCAGAGGGAAAAGGAGCAAUCCGCUUUGAGAUGGCCUCGCGUCCGAUUAGCUAGUUGGUGAGGUAACGGCCCACCAAGGCGACGAUCGGUAGCCGGACUGAGAGGUUGAACGGCCACAUUGGGACUGAGACACGGCCCAGACUCCUACGGGAGGCAGCAGUGGGGAAUAUUGCACAAUGGGGGAAACCCUGAUGCAGCGACGCCGCGUGGAGGAAGAAGGUCUUCGGAUUGUAAACUCCUGUUGUUGAGGAAGAUAAUGACGGUACUCAACAAGGAAGUGACGGCUAACUACGUGCCAGCAGCCGCGGUAAAACGUAGGUCACAAGCGUUGUCCGGAAUUACUGGGUGUAAAGGGAGCGCAGGCGGGAGAACAAGUUGGAAGUGAAAUCCAUGGGCUCAACCCAUGAACUGCUUUCAAAACUGUUUUUCUUGAGUAGUGCAGAGGUAGGCGGAAUUCCCGGUGUAGCGGUGGAAUGCGUAGAUAUCGGGAGGAACACCAGUGGCGAAGGCGGCCUACUGGGCACCAACUGACGCUGAGGCUCGAAAGUGUGGGUAGCAAACAGGAUUAGAUACCCUGGUAGUCCACACCGUAAACGAUGAUUACUAGGUGUUGGAGGAUUGACCCCUUCAGUGCCGCAGUUAACACAAUAAGUAAUCACCCUGGGGAGUACGACCGCAAGGUUGAAACUCAAAGGAAUUGACGGGGGCCCGCACAAGCAGUGGAGUAUGUGGUUUUAAUUCGACGCAACGCGAAGAACCUUACCAAGUCUUGACAUCCCUUGACGAACAUAGAAAUAUGUUUUCUCUUCGGAGCAAGGAGACAGGUGGUGCAUGGUUGUCGUCAGCUCGUGUCGUGAGAUGUUGGGUUAAGUCCCGCAACGAGCGCAACCCUUAUGGUCAGUUACUACGCAAGAGGACUCUGGCCAGACUGCCGUUGACAAAACGGAGGAAGGUGGGGAUGACGUCAAAUCAUCAUGCCCUUUAUGACUUGGGCUACACACGUACUACAAUGGCGUUAAACAAAGAGAAGCAAGACCGCGAGGUGGAGCAAAACUCAGAAACAACGUCCCAGUUCGGACUGCAGGCUGCAACUCGCCUGCACGAAGUCGGAAUUGCUAGUAAUCGUGGAUCAGCAUGCCACGGUGAAUACGUUCCCGGGCCUUGCACACACCGCCCGUCA
This 1371-nucleotide ribosomal RNA is filed under the name uncultured bacterium. Its description in RNAcentral is "bacterial SSU rRNA". It matches the Rfam family "Bacterial small subunit ribosomal RNA". The record is from RNAcentral.